Molecule: unclassified non-coding RNA, 519 nt
Filed under: Hevea brasiliensis (rubber tree)
Lineage: Eukaryota; Viridiplantae; Streptophyta; Magnoliopsida; Malpighiales; Euphorbiaceae
Source: RNAcentral
CUUUUCUUUUCUUUUCUUUUCCUUCUAUCAAAGUAGGGAAAAAUGGAUUGUUUCAUUUUGUUUUUAAUAGAAUAGCACAACUUAUUUGCACAGAAAGUUGGUUGCAGCACUAUGAGUUUAACUUGUUAGGUUUUAGUUGCAUAAUAUGUUAUAGAAAAUGUGAUUUUUCAGUAUUCAAAAUUUGAAAGGUCAAUGAUAUUAUAUAUAUCUCAUUCUUGUGAGAGGUUGUUGAAAUUUUUGUGUCCUAAGUUUAAGAAGCACGACAAUAAAAAAGCAACUUUAAUUCUUAUAAAAUUUUACAGACCACUUCUGGUAAUUUUUCAAACUGGAAGGCUGAUUUGUCUAGUUUAAGGAUUCUUUAGGGGUGUUCAGGGUAUAAUUUUCACAUAACUUUAAGGCUUAAGCUAUUACUGGUGCUUUUAUAUUCAGAAUAGGCUGUUGUUAUCAAUUGUGAGAUUUAAUUUUUUAAACCUGAAGCUAUAAUGGGCAUUAAUUUUUAAUGAGGUUCCUCAGACUUGU